This 69-nucleotide transfer RNA is filed under the name Rattus norvegicus (Norway rat). It matches the Rfam family "tRNA". From Rfam's summary of the family: Transfer RNA (tRNA) molecules are approximately 80 nucleotides in length. Their secondary structure includes four short double-helical elements and three loops (D, anti-codon, and T loops). Lineage: Eukaryota; Metazoa; Chordata; Mammalia; Rodentia; Muridae. The record is from Rfam by way of RNAcentral.
GGAGAUUUAGCUCAGUGGUAGAGCGCUUGCCUAGCAAGCGCAAGGUCCUGGGUUUGGUCCCCAGCUCCG